GUGACUGCGUACCUUUUGUAUAAUGGGUCAGCGACUUAUAUUCUGUAGCAAGGUUAACCGAAUAGGGGAGCCGGAGGGAAACCGAGUCUUAACCGGGCGUUAAGUUGCAGGGUAUAGACCCGAAACCCGGUGAUCUAGCCAUGGGCAGGUUGAAGGUUGGGUAACACUAACUGGAGGACCGAACCGACUAAUGUUGAAAAAUUAGCGGAUGACCUGUGGCUGGGGGUGAAAGGCCAAUCAAACCGGGAGAUAGCUGGUUCUCCCCGAAAGCUAUUUAGGUAGCGCCUCGUGAACUCAUCUCCGGGGGUAGAGCACUGUUUCGGCUAGGGGGCCAUCCCGGCUUACCAACCCGAUGCAAACUGCGAAUACCGGAGAAUGUUAUCACGGGAGACACACGGCGGGUGCUAACGUCCGUCGUGAAGAGGGAAACAACCCAGACCGCCAGCUAAGGUCCCAAAGUCAUGGUUAAGUGGGAAACGAUGUGGGAAGGCCCAGACAGCCAGGAUGUUGGCUUAGAAGCAGCCAUCAUUUAAAGAAAGCGUAAUAGCUCACUGGUCGAGUCGGCCUGCGCGGAAGAUGUAACGGGGCUAAACCAUGCACCGAAGCUGCGGCAGCGACACUGUGUGUUGUUGGGUAGGGGAGCGUUCUGUAAGCCUGCGAAGGUGGCCUGUGAGGGUUGCUGGAGGUAUCAGAAGUGCGAAUGCUGACAUAAGUAACGAUAAAGCGGGUGAAAAGCCCGCUCGCCGGAAGACCAAGGGUUCCUGUCCAACGUUAAUCGGGGCAGGGUGAGUCGACCCCUAAGGCGAGGCCGAAAGGCGUAGUCGAUGGGAAACGGGUUAAUAUUCCCGUACUUGGUGUUACUGCGAAGGGGGGACGGAGAAGGCUAUGUUGGCCGGGCGACGGUUGUCCCGGUUUAAGCGUGUAGG
This 926-nucleotide ribosomal RNA is filed under the name Salmonella enterica subsp. enterica serovar Lubbock. RNAcentral's name for it is "partial 23S ribosomal RNA". It matches the Rfam family "Bacterial large subunit ribosomal RNA", at positions 593 to 1524 of the family's 2925-position model. Lineage: Bacteria; Pseudomonadati; Pseudomonadota; Gammaproteobacteria; Enterobacterales; Enterobacteriaceae. The record is from RNAcentral.